This 253-nucleotide ribosomal RNA is filed under the name uncultured bacterium. Its description in RNAcentral is "partial 16S ribosomal RNA". It matches the Rfam family "Bacterial small subunit ribosomal RNA", at positions 524 to 776 of the family's 1533-position model. The record is from RNAcentral.
UACGUAGGGGGCAAGCGUUGUCCGGAAUCAUUGGGCGUAAAGAGCGUGUAGGCGGCCCGGUAAGUCCGCUGUGAAAGUCCAGGGCUCAACCCUGGGAUGCCGGUGGAUACUGUCGGGCUCGAGUCCGGAAGAGGAGUGUGGAAUUCCUGGUGUAGCGGUGAAAUGCGCAGAUAUCAGGAGGAACACCACUGGCGAAGGCAGAACUCUGGGACGUGACUGACGCUGAGACGCGAAAGCGUGGGGAGCGAACAGG